This 76-nucleotide transfer RNA is filed under the name Pseudomonadota bacterium. Its description in RNAcentral is "tRNA-Thr". It matches the Rfam family "tRNA". Rfam says of the family: Transfer RNA (tRNA) molecules are approximately 80 nucleotides in length. Their secondary structure includes four short double-helical elements and three loops (D, anti-codon, and T loops). Further hydrogen bonds mediate the characteristic L-shaped molecular structure. tRNAs have two regions of fundamental functional importance: the anti-codon, which is responsible for specific mRNA codon recognition, and the 3' end, to which the tRNAs corresponding amino acid is attached (by aminoacyl-tRNA synthetases). tRNAs cope with the degeneracy of the genetic code in two manners: having more than one tRNA (with a specific anti-codon) for a particular amino acid; and 'wobble' base-pairing, i.e. permitting non-standard base-pairing at the 3rd anti-codon position. The record is from RNAcentral. Lineage: Bacteria; Pseudomonadati; Pseudomonadota.
GCCGGCUUAGCUCAGCUGGUAGAGCACCCGCCUUGUAAGCGGAAGGUCGUCCGUUCGACUCGGACAGCCGGCACCA